AACGAACGCUGGCGGCAUGCCUAACACAUGCAAGUCGAACGAGACCUUCGGGUCUAGUGGCGCCCGGUUGCGUAACGCGUGGGAACCUGCCCUUAGGUUCGGAAUAACUCCCCGAAAGGGGUGCUAAUACCGGAUAAUGUCUUCGGACCAAAGAUUUAUCGCCUUUGGAUGGGCCCGCGUUGGAUUAGCUAGUUGGUAGGGUAAAAGCCUACCAAGGCGACGAUCCAUAGCUGGUCUGAGAGGAUGAUCAGCCACACUGGGACUGAGACACGGCCCAGACUCCUACGGGAGGCAGCAGUGGGGAAUAUUGGGCAAUGGGCGAAAGCCUGAUCCAGCAAUGCCGCGUGAGUGAUGAAGGCCUUAGGGUUGUAAAGCUCUUUUACCCGGGAUGAUAAUGACAGUACCGGGAGAAUAAGCUCCGGCUAACUCCGUG
This 433-nucleotide ribosomal RNA is filed under the name uncultured bacterium. RNAcentral describes it as "partial 16S ribosomal RNA". It matches the Rfam family "Bacterial small subunit ribosomal RNA", at positions 29 to 507 of the family's 1533-position model. The record is from RNAcentral.